GAUGCCUGGACCCAUGGGUAGUACAGAACCCUUCAUAUACUAUGUUUUUCCCUAGCCAUACCUACCUAAGAGAAAGUUUAAUUUAUAAAUCAAGCACAGGCCAGGUGUGGUGGCUCACGCCUGUAAUCCCAACACUUUGGGAGGCCGAGGCGGGUGGAUCAUCUGAGGUUAGGAGUUUGAGACCAGCCUGGCCAACAUGGUGAAACCCUGUCUCUACUGAAAAUACAAAAAUUAGCCGGGCGUGGUGGUGCGUGCCUGUAGUCCCAGCUACUCGGGAGGCUGAGGCGGGAGAAUUGCUUAAACCCGGGAGGCAGACGUUGCAGUGAGCCGAGAUCGUGCCACUGCACUCCAGCCCAGGCAACAGAGCAAGAUCCAUCUCAGUAAAUAAAUCAAUAAAUCAAGCAAAGUAGGAGAUUAACAGCAAUAACUAAAGAUAAAAUAAAAUGAUUAUAACAAUAUGCCUUCAUUACUACUCUUGCACUUUGGGGCUAUUAUGAAGUCAAAUAAAGGUGACUUGAGCACAAGCACCCUGGCCUUCCCAGGACUGUCAGUCUGAUAACAGAGCCAGCUACUCAGUGACUAGUGGGAGAGUAGUGUAGACAGCGUGGAUUGCAGGACAAAGGGAUGAGUCACGUCCCAGGCGGGACGGCACGACACUUCAUCACGCUGCUCAGAACAACGUGUGAUUUCAAACUUCUGAAUUAUUUCUGGAAUUUUCCGUUUACUCUUUGCAGACUUUGGUUGACCUUGGGGAGCAAACCGAGGACCGCGAAACCACAGAUCAAGGGGGAGCUCGUGUCAUAGCAGCUCUAACUUAGUGCUUACAACAUGCAGGCACUGUUCUAGUCAUUUUGCGUAUAUUCAUGAAUCCUCCCACAACCACCGUGUUCACGAGGAAGCGGAGGCAGAGGGAGGUUUAGUGAGUUGCUGGAGGCAGCCCAGCUGGUGAGCUGAGGCUCAGCCGCACGACCGUGCUCUGGCCCCAAAACACUCCUCGGUAACCCCCAUCCUGCCCACACAAAUGGCCCCGGAACACAGCGGCUGCUUUGAGUCAGUUUCUCUCUCGAUGACUUUUCCACGUUGGCUUCGAUCUGGGAGUUCCGUUUUCUGUGUAUUUGCUGUCAAUUUCUAUGCCUUUGGAUGUUAGUCAUUUUCCGAGGUGCUAAAAGGGGCUGGUGUGUGUUUUUUCAUUCCUCUACAGGUGGCCCUGGGAUGGUAACAGAUGCGGAGAGAUCCAUAGUAUCACCAAGUGAAAGCUGCGGCCCCAUCAAUGUGAAAACUGAACCCAUGGAAGAUUCUGGUGGGUACCAAGAUGCUUUUAGAAUCAAGUAUCGGCCAAGCGUGGUAGCUCACGCCUGUAAUCCCAGCAAUUUGGGAGGCCGAGGCAGGCGGAUCACUUGAGGUCAGGAGUUCAAGACCAGCCUGGCCAACAUGGUGAAACCCCGUCUCUCCUAAAAAUACAAAAAUUAGCCAGGCGUGGCUGUGCGUGCCUGUAAUCCCAGCUACCAGGGAGGCUGAGGCAGGAGAAUUGCUUGGACCUGGGAGGCUGAGGCUGCAGUGAGCUGAGAUGGCGCCACUGCACUCCAGCCUGGGUGACAGAGCAAGACCCUGUCUCAAAAAAACAAACAAGGCUGCGCACGGUGGAUCACGCUUGUAAUCCCAGCACUUUGGGAGGCUGAGGCGGACAGAUCGCCUGAGCUCAGGAGUUCAAGACCAUCCUGGCCAACAUAGUAAAACCCUGUCUCUACUAAAAUACAAAAAAUUAGCUGGGCAUGUUCGUGUGCGCCUGUAGUCCCAGCUACUUGGGAGGCUGAGGCAUGAGAAUUGCUUGAGCCCGGGAGGUGGAGGUUGCAGUGAGCCAAGAUCGCACCACUGCACUCCACCUUGGGCUACAGAGUGAGAUUCUGUGUCAAAAAAAAACAAAAACAAAAACAAAAACAAAAAAACAAAAAAAAAGAACCAAGUAUCUAGCAGGUUAUCAUUUGACACCUUUCUUUUGUUUUAUCAAAUAAAUAAAUAAAUAAAGACCAGGGCGUGAAUUAACCUC
RNAcentral lists this long non-coding RNA (2047 nucleotides) under Homo sapiens (human). Its description in RNAcentral is "non-protein coding lnc-RCC1L-5:1". The stretch from base 1470 to 1617 matches the Rfam family "Metazoan signal recognition particle RNA". Lineage: Eukaryota; Metazoa; Chordata; Mammalia; Primates; Hominidae. The record is from RNAcentral.